GAUGAACGCUGGCGGCGUGCCUAAUACAUGCAAGUCGAGCGAACAGACGAGGAGCUUGCUCCUCUGACGUUAUCGGCGGACGGGUGAGUAACACGUGGAUAACCUACCUAUAAGACUGGGAUAACUUCGGGAAACCGGAGCUAAUACCGGAUAAUAUAUUGAACCGCAUGGUUCAAUAGUGAAAGACGGUUUUGCUGUCACUUAUAGAUGGAUCCGCGCCGCAUCAGCUAGUUGGUAAGGUAACGGCUUACCAAGGCAACGAUGCGUAGCCGACCCGAGAGGGUGAUCGGCCACACUGGAACUGAGACACGGUCCAGACUCCGACGGGAGGCAGCAGUAGGGAAUCUUACGCGAUGGGCGAAAGCCUGACGGAGCAACGCCGCGUGAGUGAUGAAGGUCUUCGGAUCGGAGAACUCUGUUAUUAGGGAAGAACAAAUGUGUAAGUAACUAUGCACGUCUUGACGGUACCUAAUCAGAAAGCCACGGCUAACUACGUG
This 497-nucleotide ribosomal RNA is filed under the name uncultured bacterium. Its description in RNAcentral is "partial 16S ribosomal RNA". It matches the Rfam family "Bacterial small subunit ribosomal RNA", at positions 28 to 507 of the family's 1533-position model. The record is from RNAcentral.